Molecule: long non-coding RNA, 7331 nt
Organism: Zeugodacus cucurbitae (melon fly)
Lineage: Eukaryota; Metazoa; Arthropoda; Insecta; Diptera; Tephritidae
Exons: 2
Source: RefSeq, a predicted model, not a curated record
GUAUGUUCGAGUGUGUUCAAUCACACUAGCUUAAAUUCGGUACGAGUGUGUCGUAACACUCUUCAAACACGUGUUCGAUCGAGUUUGGAACCCGAAGCGAAAAUAACGCAAACGAACAAUCACGACGGUCCUAUGUUCGAGUGCAAGCAGCAAACUCGGAUUUUAUGUAUAUUAUAUUUUCGGGUGUGUCGUGCACGUAUUGAUUGUGAUCGACACACUCGAGUGGCACUCGAAGACCAAAAAAUAAUAGAUAAACAUACGUACACACAUAUGUAUGUAUGUUGGCGUCGGGAUGACGCGUUCUGUCUUAGCUUUUUUGGUUGAAUAAUUUGAAUAUUAGACGUACAUAGUACAUAUUAUAAAAGAAUAAUUCAAUUUAAGAAUAGAAUUCACUCAAAACUUAUUUUAUUUAUUAAUUCAUAAAUCAUAAAUAAAAAACAUUUCAUUGCACUUAAAUAUUUUAAUUUUUUUUAAAUCACAAAUUUCAGGUGUAGACCAGAUAAGGUGUUUGUGCUAUUGGAAAUGUUCUCACAACCCGAAUUUUCUAUCGUUGUCAUUAUGAAUUAUAAAAAGUAAACAAAACGAACAAACCCAAUAAUCGUUGACAAUCACUACGCAAUAAUAGCAUGACUGCCAAUUACAUACAUACAUAUUCUGAAAUUUUGUGCACACUCGUGUGUGACUCGAUCACAUUCAAUACGAUCGGGUUAGAGUUCCAGCUCGUUCACAAACGAGUGUCAACUCGGCACUCUGUUAAAACAAGCAUAGACCCCUUUCACACAGGCAAUUUUUGUCGCGGCAAUUCUUAUUUUUAUAGGAGAGGGGGCGACGAGGAGAGGAGAAUCGCGCCGAGUCUGCUGUGUUCAGGCAACACGCUUUGUGUUCUUAUUCGUAACAGUUCGCUGCUACGUAACAGUGUUGCAUUUGCACAUAUUUUAAAAUUACUGUUUACAAUAUAUUUGAAAAUUUUAAUUUAAUCAUUUAAUUUUGUAUGUAAUUUGCAAAUACAUAUAGAAAUAUGCAUAAUAUAAUUAAAAUGUGCUAGAAAAUUGAGAAUAACGAUAAAAAUUAGUUAAUGAAAUAUAUAUUUUUUGCUUGGAAACGAUGCGUACAAGAAGUUGAGAAAAUAAUAUGAAAGAGAAUGACAGAAAAACACGAACAGAGUUGUCGAACAAGAAUUGCUCGUGUGAACGCAAGGGGCUACAGCAAAAGAGAAUCGCCCGAGAAUUAGCAACAGAAGUUGCCUGUGUGAAAGUGGACAUAUAUGCUUGUGUUUCGAGUGUCGCGAAAGGCUCGUUCGUUUUGAACAUGUCUCCAAGCGAUCAAUACGAGUAUUCAUACCGAAAAGUUUGAUCAAACAAAAUCAGAGUGGACAUUCGAGUGUGCACGAAAAUGAUAUACCCGUUGCAGCUCUCUGAUGUGUACAAAUUCUUGGAAUAAUAAACUUAGAAGUUUUCUCAGCAAAAAUGUUUGAAAAACGCAUUUUUAGCGCACCAACUAGUUGUAACCCCGGAAUUACUUUAUGAAAUCGUAUGCGACAAACGUAUUAUACAAAUAAAUUAAUUCAAAUAUUUACCAAACAUAACGAUUUUCGAAUUUCAAUGAGCUUAACUGAGGCAUUUGAUAUGAUUUUUAGGGACAUAGGUGGCAUUUGCUGUGGGCCAUAAAGUAAAGGUUUUACUGUCCAUUGUAGUAGUAUUUCGCUUAAAUGUAGUAAAAAUAAAUAAAAAAAUAAGCACGAAAAAGUUCUCACUGGGUUUCUUAGCUUUCGUGUUCACCUACCCACUCUCAGUUGCUCUCAUGCCAACAAUUUCUAUAGCUGAUCAGUAGUGACUAGCUACUCACACAUCGUCUCAUGAAAAACGCACAUACAGAAUUAUAUUAAUUCCAGCAAAAUUACUUAUGUAAGUCACCGGUUGUCCAGGCAUGAAAUGUAAACUGGUUUAAAUACGUAACUGAUUUUCUUCAAUAACAAUAUCAUGCUGCGCCAGUACGCUACUUUUUUAAAUUACGAAAAUAAAUUUGUGUCCAAUUCUAAUUUUCUAAUUGCUAAAAUUUAAUCGUUAUAGAAUAAUUGGUGAACACACAGAGAUAGAGAGGAAGAAGGAAGAGCAGACGAUAGAGAGACAAAAGUGGAGAGUUUUGAGAGUUGUGAGCGUAAAUAUACACAGAAAAAAUUGAUAAAUGUUAAUAAUUUUUUAUGAUUUUCACUGUAUGCGCUUUCAUUUCAUAUUUCAAUACUAUAUACAUAUGUAUAUGUGCAUAUUAUAAGUAAGAAAAAAAUUUGGGGAAAAUUUCAAAGUCAAAGCCAACAUUUCGUUACAUAACAGUUAUUCAUCAAAACACGAGAAGAGUAGCAAAAUAUAAAAAGUAACAUACAAACAAAUUGUAAAUAUCAAUUCUGAAUAAAUUUCAAAAAACAAAAAGUCAAAAAGAAAAAUAAUUAUAAAAUUUUAAUACUCGAAAUAUUUUGAAAACGUAUGCAAAAAUUAAAUUGGAAAUUGAAAAAAUUUGGUUAACAAAAGUAAAAUUUACUACUACUAAACUACUAAAAAAAUAAUGCUAAACAGAAAAUAUAACAUACAAACAAUAUGCAUGUCUAGUGUGUUGCUCAUAUAUUAGUGUAUAUUUGUCGCGAAUUGAAUGUGAAUUUUAACGCUAAAGUUUUAGUUUUACAAAUUAGCUGACAUUAUGCAAAAAAUAACAUUCACUAUAUAGUGAAGUGAAGACAGUGCACAAAUUUACUAAAAUUAAAAAAAAACUAUCCAGCUUCAUACACGUAUCUACAAAUGUCGUUUGAAUUGCCGAACAACAAAACCUGCUGCGCCUUUACAACGCUUUACUGACCCAAACUUUAAUUUUAAAUAUUUAAUCGAUUGAUAAUUUUAGGCUGUAGCUGAUGCAGAAUAAUCAUUCAAAUAUAUUGCAGCAUUUAAUACUGCAUUGAAGGUAUAUUGAUAAGACUUGCUCUCAUCACAGGCCACUAGGCGCAAAUAUCCAUAUUUCGAAGUAUAGUGAUGAACUCACACCUUCCUGUUUAUAAUAAACUUAAGCAAUUUGUUAUUUCUCAAAUGCAGUUUUACUUGUUAUAUGUUUUGAUAUCAUUUAAACAGACGCACGGACAGACAACACAGUUUAUAUGCAUAUUAUCUAAUAAGUCCGCAUUUUUUGAUUGAAGAAUUGAAGAAUUUAUAAAAAAUAAUGCGCAAACUACCAGCCGGUUUCACGGAACAAACUCAAGCGAAAUUUAAUUAAUUUCAGUUGCAGUCAUAUGCAACUAUGUUUACGUUUUUCUAUUAGCAGUUUUCUAUAUUUUAUUUCCAAUUUUUUGUUUACAUAAAUCAACAGUUAUUCUUACUAUUACUGUCAAAUGUGAAUAAUGUUGAAAGGUAGUACAAAGUUAAAUAAAACUUAAAAUUAAAUGGAACCAAAUUUUCAAUUUAAAAAUUUCGUGAAAUCGGCUGUAAGUGUAAGCGCAAGUCUUUUCUCUCUCUCUCUCUCUCUUAUGUAAUGUGUUUUUAUGAAUAGAGCAGAAAAAUUUAAUGAAGUACAAAAAUGUGUGUAUUUAUUGAAUGGAAAUUUUUAUAUUUAACAUUAGACAAAUUACUAAAUCAUAAUAUACACAAAUCAAUAAUUCUCAAUAUUUAUAUUUUGUUGUAGAUGGUACUAUUUUAUUUUUUCGUUUUGCAUUUUAUUAUGUUACUUGACUAGCACGAAACUAGUACCUACGGUCUCCCUGGAACAUAGUCUGCCUUUAAAAUAACAACAGUUAAGCAAGCGCUAUUUUGUUUGCCAAAAUAUUAAAUUUUAAUUCAUUCAUUCAGACAGUAUUUUUAUAUAAUAAGUAUUUUAUGUAUUAAAUAAAUAAAAAAUAAUUUGAAAAUAUUUGAAAUUAUUUUUAUUGAAUAUUAUACUGCUGACAAACUGCAUAAAAUUAAAAAAAAAAAACCUGUAUAUUUAUGCAAGAAUUUAUUUAUUUUUUUGUUUUGCUUUUCCUUUUUGAAUGUAAUUCAUACAAAAUCUAGCUUAAUCAAAACCCGUUUGAAGGUUAUAAUCACUACUUAUUAAAAAUAUAUUUUUUAUUGAAAUAAAAGAAAUAUGUAUUCAGUAAAAAACUGAAAAUAAUUAAUGUUAACAGCUCGAAAGUUAAUUCACAAAAUAUACAACUCCAACACCAACAUUAAAACUCUGACAUCUGACAUAAAUACAAAUUAAGAUUUUUGUAUCAGCGGCAACGUACGGAAUUUCAUUGCCUCAUAGGAGCUAGGAACACUAUUGAAUUUUAUUUUUAUUCGACGUGCAUAAAUGGAAGUAUUGAAAAAUCUAAACGGUUUUUUAGAGUUUUGACAGCAUUGCACGCUUUACAAAAAACUUAUCACCAAAAAGAAUUUUAUAAUUUUUCAUAAUCAUCCAAAGAAAAAAAUAUUACAGAGAAUUUAUAAGAUGGUGUGUGUGAAAACAUUAUUUAACAAAGUUUUGUUAAGAAAGCAGCGAAAAUUAAUAUUCAACCAUCCCAUAUAUGCAUGUAUGUAGGUCAACAAUUUUCAUUUUUGUGUAAUGCAAAUGAGCAAUACUUUGUAAUGAUGCGGCAUAAAUGUAUUUUUGCAAAGGACACAUUUUGUUAAAAUUAAACGUUUGACUACAGAGCACAUUGUCCCCAAACAAAGCAUGAACAGUUUAAUUAAUAAAACUCUGUAGUAAUGAAGUGUGGAUUUAACAACUGGAAUGUAGGGAACUAAUACAAUUGCUGUUUGGUAUUGCUAAAUAUGACCUUCAUUAAUUGACCACUGCUGCCUAUGUACAAUUUAAAUCAGAAAUAUUUUACACGCUAUUCAAUUUGGUCACACGGUUAACAAUAGUUAUUACCAACCACCAACAUUUUUACUAAUAAACAGCAUAUACUGUCGUUGUGUUAUAAUCAUACUUAUUGGCUGAAAAGUAAAAUUUAUUACAAACAAUUUGUAACUACAACAUACUUGGUUUAAUCACCGACGACGGUUUAUAAAACAACCAAAAUAUUAUAUAGUGUGCCUCUGCACUGUUCAAUGUUGCUACAAUAGUUUUCAUAGUUUUCCUAUAACUCGAAAAACAUGUAUGCUUUUAACUUGUCAACAUAACUGCCACGCCUGCUUUUUCAAUACAAAUUACUGUUUAAAGUGUUUGAAGCCAGAAUAUAAGCUACGUUAAAGAAUGUAUCUUGUUAAAAUCACAUUUUUGAAACAUUAUUUUUUACGUUGGUUAAACUUAUGCAAAUUACUAGAGUAAAUGUAUUCAUAAAAUCAACUUAUAAGUGUACUAAUUAUUUUAAAUAUAUAUUUUAAAAUAAGUUAUUGGAAGAACCAUCAUUAAGAGUCAAAAAAUAUAUGUAUGAAGUAAUAGUACCCCAAACCCGGAAGGUGAAACGUAUACAUGAAAGUAAAUAUGAGGUGAACAUGCAGAAAAAUUGAUAAAUAUUGAAGUGUUGCGUACGCUUUGAAGUUGCUUUUACGUACGUAUAUAUGUGUGUAUGUAUAUUUGGAGUUUAGAAUAUUUCGAAAAUUAUAAUUUUAAACUGUUUUGCGCAGUUUCAACUGCAAGCUUGUUAACAGUUCACAUAUUGCAUGUUUCCAAGUAGAAUUAUUUAAAUAGAUGGUAUUGCAAACACACCCCAAAAGCAAAUCUAAAGUGUCUUAUGUGCAUACAAAACGAAAUAGUAAGAAUUCACUUUCCCUUCCGUUUCUAUUUCAUACCAAAUAAUAUACGGCGGAUAUACAAACACAAAUUAACAAAGAACCUUCUGGAUAUGGGGUAUUUGAUGGAGUUCGGAAAUAUUCAUUGGGUUUUUAAUAUGCUCACUUUGGUUCCAACGAACCAUCAUAUAUCGUAACAUAAUUUUAAUUUGCAUUUUCUCCAUUUAAACCAUACGUAAGCAUAGGUAUUAUUAGAAUCCCAAAUAGUUCAGGUUUUAUUAUUUACAAAUAAUUAUUCUAACUUAAUUAAUUUAAUUUAGAUUUUUCAUUACACGUCUUUAACCUUGUUUUUUCUUUUUUUAAUUUCUUCAUGUAAGACUAAUGUGCAUUUUAGAAAUACUUGAAAUCUUAUAUUUUCAUUCUAAACAAUAUAACAAAAUAUAUUUGGGAGUUCACAAUAGGUUUGUUGAAAAAAUAUCGAUAUAGUAUAGAUAUGCAACGAUAUUUGUUAGCGAUAUUUAAAAUGUUGAUAUCGAAAAAUGAUUAUUGUUUAUUCAUUUACAACAGUUGUAAACUUUUUGUUAUUGUUUUUAAAAGUAAAAUUUGAAUAAGCUAAUACAACACCGCAAGUUAUGUUUAGUGUGCUAAUUGUGGCUGUUCAUCUAUCAGCCGUUUUUUGUUUACAUAAAAUGAAAAAUGAAAUCAACUAAAACUAAGGUUCUAAGUUAUAUUUAAUUAAAGACCAGUUAAAAAAAGGCGCUUAUAGAUUUGCUAAGUGAAAAUUCCCAACAUGAGGUUAAUUUUUCGUUUAACGUUUCGUAUAAUAAUAUAUAUUUAGUUGCAACUUGAAAAAAAAAAUCUAUUUCUUUCUAUGUCUCACCACCUGAAUAAUUACCGAAAUAGUACAUGCUAUAGGCCGGUGUUUGGUCUAAUGACUAUGCUAAUGCAAUAGCACACUAUUUCAAUAAACCAAUAGUAGGGCUUGUGAACUCCCUAAUUAUGAAAUUAAUUAAGUAAAAUUAAAUUUUAUUAAGUAAAAUAGUACAAAUUCGUACGUUAUGGCGUAAUUGACUAUUUCCGAACUCUUUGUUGUUAAUUAUGCAAUUAUAAUUAUAAAUAUGUACAUAACAUAUAUAUUUAUAUAAUUCUGUAAAUAUAGGUAUAUAAUUUUUAAAAUGUGUAUUAAUUUUCAUAUAAGUGUAUAUAUAUAUAUGGAAUGUAGAAUUGAACUUAUAGAACGAAAAAUUACUUGAUUUACGAAAAGUUGAAUAAUGAGUAGUGUGAAUAUGCAAAUAAUAAUAUAUUACUUAAUGUGAGCUCUUUCGAAUAACUGUAUUUAUGUAUUUAUAUAUGAAUGAAACAAAAAACAACGUUUAUGAUGUGAAAUAAUACUUAAAAAAUCGCCUAAACUCUAUAGCUAUAGUAAAUAAAAAUAUAUUUCGUUAUGUAACUAAUAAAUAUUUGUAUGUAUAUAUAUAUAUAUAUAUAUUUCAGUUACUAAAACAAGAUAAGGACCACUUACUUGAGUUUGUAAGCGUGUCAGUCCGCGUAUCCAAAGUAUUUGACCAGCACGUGGUUUCUUAUCAGAGUCAAUGGAAUCGAAACGUUCUUCUCCCAAAUGCAUAGCAUCAGUGUAUUCUUCAGGGUGUCCACGACCCCAAC